CGUGUAGGCGGUGCGGUAAGUUGGGCGUGAAAUCCCCGAGCUUAACUCGGGUGGGCCGUUCAAGACUGCCGUGCUAGGGUGCGGGAGAGGGAAGUGGAAUUUCCGGUGUAGCGGUGAAAUGCGUAGAUAUCGGGAGGAACACCUGCGGCGAAGGCGGCUUCCUGGACCGUAACCGACGCUGAGGCGCGAAAGCUAGGGGAGCAAACAGGAUUAGAUACCCUGGUAGUCCUAGCCCUAAACGAUGAGCACUGGGUGUGGCCCCUCACGAGGCCGUGCCGAAGCUAACGCAUUAAGUGCUCCGCCUGGGAGUACGGUCGCAAGGCUGAA
RNAcentral lists this ribosomal RNA (327 nucleotides) under uncultured bacterium. RNAcentral's name for it is "bacterial SSU rRNA". It matches the Rfam family "Bacterial small subunit ribosomal RNA", at positions 568 to 898 of the family's 1533-position model. The record is from RNAcentral.